Long non-coding RNA from Nerophis ophidion (straightnose pipefish), 392 nucleotides. RefSeq lists it as uncharacterized. Lineage: Eukaryota; Metazoa; Chordata; Actinopteri; Syngnathiformes; Syngnathidae. The transcript is spliced from 4 exons. The record is from RefSeq and is a predicted model, not a curated record.
CGUUUUUCCAGAGUGCCAGUGAACGCACCACACUGCCAGCCUAACAAUCAUGGCGUCCUUGCGGUUCAUCGCCCUCAAGUGAAAGUAGGUCAUGGCGAUGUAGCCAUCAUCCAUCCAUCCAUAUAUUUUCAUAUUCAUCAUUAUCAUCAAAAUCAAGGGUCUUCUUCUCUCUACUCUGGCUCCUCAUACAUCAUCAAUGGAAAGUAUGUCUGUGACAGUCUCUUGCCGUCGUCGUGCGGGUUCCACUGACCACCAAGGAAGGACAUUGCUUUUGCAGCUGUCAAAAAGGCAGCUGCGACUUUCUUGGCUCCUCCAUGGCUUCUCUCAGAGACACUAGCGGUCACCACACCCCUCCGACUUUCAGGUAUGACUUUAUAAUCUCACUAAAACAC